GACGAACGCUGGCGGCGUGCUUAACACAUGCAAGUCGAACGGUGAAGCGCCUUCCUUUUUGGUGGGUGUGGAUGAGUGGCGAACGGGUGAGUAACACGUGAGUAACCUGCCCCCUUCUUCUGGAUAACCGCAUGAAAGUGUGGCUAAUACGGGAUAUUCUGGGUCUGUCGCAUGAUGGGUCUGGGAAAGAUAUUGUUUCGGUGGGGGAUGGGCUCGCGGCCUAUCAGCUUGUUGGGGGGGUGAUGGCCUACCAAGGCGGUGACGGGUAGCCGGCCUGGGAGGGUGGACGGUCACACUGGGACGGAGACACGGCCCAGACUCCUACGGGGGGCAGCAGUGGGGAAUAUUGCACAAUGGGCGAAAGCCUGAUGCAGCGACGCCGCGUGAGGGAUGGAGGCCUUCGGGUUGUGAACCUCUUUCGCCAGUGAAGCAGGCCUGCCUCGUUUGUGGGUGGGUUGACGGUAGCUGGAGAAGAAGCGCCGGCUAACUACGUG
RNAcentral lists this ribosomal RNA (494 nucleotides) under uncultured bacterium. Its description in RNAcentral is "partial 16S ribosomal RNA". It matches the Rfam family "Bacterial small subunit ribosomal RNA", at positions 28 to 507 of the family's 1533-position model. The record is from RNAcentral.